This is a non-coding RNA of Poecilia formosa (Amazon molly), 77 nucleotides long. The record is from Rfam. NCBI's taxonomy places the organism in Eukaryota, Metazoa, Chordata, Actinopteri, Cyprinodontiformes, Poeciliidae.
CUGGUGUUGAUUGUCCAAACGCAAUUCUUGUACUGCUGCUCCAAAUCCAGGAGUUGUGGAUGGACAUCAUGCUCCCC